Molecule: ribosomal RNA, 253 nt
Filed under: uncultured bacterium
Lineage: Bacteria
Description: partial 16S ribosomal RNA
Rfam family: Bacterial small subunit ribosomal RNA
Source: RNAcentral
UACAGAGGUCUCAAGCGUUGUUCGGAUUCAUUGGGCGUAAAGGGUGCGUAGGCGGCGCGGUAAGUCGGGUGUGAAAUCUCGGGGCUUAACUCGGAAAGGUCAACUGAUACUGUGCGACUAGAGUGCGGAAGGGGCAACUGGAAUUCUCGGUGUAGCGGUGAAAUGCGUAGAUAUCGAGAGGAACACCUGCGGCGAAGGCGGGUUGCUGGGCCGACACUGACGCUGAUGCGCGAAAGCCAGGGGAGCGAACGGG